This is an RNA transcript of Drosophila biarmipes, 4230 nucleotides long. It is a transcript of the gene named DNA repair endonuclease XPF, with no coding region annotated. NCBI's taxonomy places the organism in Eukaryota, Metazoa, Arthropoda, Insecta, Diptera, Drosophilidae. The transcript is spliced from 7 exons. The record is from RefSeq and is a predicted model, not a curated record.
UAACUCUACACAGCUGAUCGAACCGGCAGAUUUGUCAAGUUGCGAAAUCGAAUCCUUGGGCUUUUUAUGCUAUAAUGUCCGAUUCGGGUGCGGAAAAUGCCGAAACGGCGGCGGAACAGGAGCUGCCGGCAGAGGUGGACACAGCCAAGUUGCUGGAAACCUCCACCGCCAUUCAGGAGGACGAGGAUCUGGCAAACAUCGUGACCGCCGAGGAGUAUUUGAUGUGCAAGGAUGUGGUCCUCCUGGAGUACGAAAAGCAAAUGUUUCUCGACCAGGUUCAGGCGGAUGGUCUCCUGGUCUGCGCCAAGGGCCUGAGCUACGAGCGCGUUCUGAUCAACAUCCUGAAGGCCUACAGCGAUUCCGGGAACCUGGUGCUCGUGAUCAACAGUUCCGACUGGGAGGAGCAGUACUACAAGUCCAAAAUGGAAGCCAAAUACGUCCACGAUGUGGCCAACACGGCCACCGAGAGGGAGCGCGUUUACCUGGAAGGCGGCCUGCAGUUCAUUAGCACCCGCAUCCUGGUGGUGGACCUGCUCAAGCAGCGCAUUCCCAUCGAGCUGAUCAGCGGAAUCGUCGUGCUGCGCGCGCACACCAUCAUCGAGAGCUGCCAGGAGGCGUUCGCUCUGCGAUUGUACCGCCAGAAGAACAAAACCGGCUUCAUAAAGGCCUUCUCCAGUAGCCCCGAGGCCUUCACCAUUGGCUACUCGCAUGUGGAGCGCACCAUGCGCAACCUGUUCGUCAAGCACUUGUACAUUUGGCCCCGCUUCCAUGCCACCGUACGUGGCGCCUUGCAGCCGUGGCAAACGCAAACGAUCGAGCUGCAUGUGCCCCUCAGCCAGACCAUGACCUCCAUACAAACGCACAUCCUGGACAUUAUGAACUUCCUGGUGCGCGAGAUCAAGCGGAUCAAUCGCACUGUUGACAUGGAGGCUGUCACCGUGGAGAACUGUGUGACCAAAAAGUUCCACAAGAUCCUGCAGGCGCAGCUGGACUGCAUCUGGCAUCAGCUCAACUCGCAGACCAAGCUGAUAGUGGCGGACCUCAAGAUUCUGCGGAGUCUAAUGAUCUCCACCAUGUACCACGAUUCGGUGAGUGCCUACGCCCUGAUGAAACGCUAUCGCAGCACGGAAUAUGCCCUGAGCAACUCGGGAUGGACCUUACUGGAUGCCGCCGAGCAGAUUUUCAAGCUCUCCAGGCAGCGCGUGUUCAAUGGCCAGCAGGAAUUCGAGCCCGAGCCCUGUCCCAAAUGGCAGGCUCUCACGGAUCUGCUCACCCAGGACAUACCCGGUGAUAUGCGACGUUGCCGGCGAACGGAGCAACCAAAGGUGUUGAUCCUCUGCCAGGAUGCUCGCACUUGCCACCAGUUGAAGCAGUACCUCACGCAAGGUGGACCACGUUUUCUGCUCCAGCAGGCGCUGCAUCAUGAGGUGCCAGUGGGCAAACUGAGCGACAAGUACGCCAAGGAGAGCCAAGCGAAGGGAGCUCCAACAAAGGGCGAGGCGGCCGCCAAAAAAGAACCUCUCAAGGAGGAGCUUUCUGGCUCUCAGCCCCCGCCUGCUGGCAUGGAUGAACUGGCUCAGCUGCUGAGCGAAUCGGAGACCGAGGGCCAGCACUUCGAGGAGAGCUACAUGCUCACCAUGACGCAGCCGGUGGAGCAGGAGCCAUUGCUGGACAUUAAACCCGAUCCGGAUGCCUCCAUUUUCGAAACCAUACCGGAGCUGGAGCAAUUCGAUGUGACAGCUGCCCUGGCAACGGUGCCUCAUCAGCCGUAUAUAUGCCUGCAGACCUUCAAAACGGAGCGGGAGGGCUCCAUGGCUCUGGAGAGAAUGCUGGAGCAACUGCAGCCGCACUAUGUGGUCAUGUACAAUACGAAUGUCACGGCCAUUCGGCAGCUGGAGGUGUUUGAAGCCAGGCGCCGCUUGCCGCCAGCAGAUCGCAUGAGGGUUUAUUUUCUGAUCCAUGCGCGCACCGUGGAGGAGCAGGCUUACCUGACCAGUUUGCGUCGCGAGAAGGCAGCCUUUGAGUUGAUUAUAGACACCAAGAGUAAAAUGGUGAUACCCGAGUACCAGGAUGGCAAGACCGAUGAAGCCUUCUUGCUGUUCAAGAGCUACGAUGAUGAACUGACGGCUGAGAAUGCCAAGAGUCGCCAGGCAGGCGGUCAAGUUCCGCAGGCCUCCAGGGAGACGCCCAAGGUUAUUGUGGAUAUGCGUGAGUUCCGCUCGGACUUGCCCUGUCUGAUUCACAAGCGCGGACUGGAGGUGCUGCCCUUGACCAUCACAAUUGGCGACUAUAUACUCACGCCGGAUAUUUGUGUGGAGCGGAAGUCCAUUUCCGAUUUAAUUGGAUCCCUGAAUUCGGGGCGAUUGUACAACCAAUGCGUGCAGAUGCAGCGGCACUAUGCAAAGCCCAUUCUGCUGAUCGAAUUCGAUCAGAACAAACCCUUCCACCUGCAGGGGAAAUUCAUGCUCUCCCAGCAGACGAGCAUGGCCAAUGCGGAUAUAGUGCAGAAACUGCAGCUGCUUACGUUGCAUUUUCCGAAACUCCGCCUCAUCUGGUCGCCCAGUCCGUAUGCAACGGCCCAGCUCUUCGAGGAACUGAAGCUGGGCAAACCCGAACCGGAUCCCCAGAAGGCGGUGGCCCUGGGCAGUGACGAGCCAACGGCCGGCGAGCAAUUGCAUUUCAACAGCUCCAUCUACGAUUUCCUGCUACGCCUGCCCGGCGUUCACACGCGCAACAUACACGGCCUGCUCCGGAAGGGCGGCAGCCUGCGGCAAUUGUUGCUGCGCAGCCAGAAGGAGCUGGAGGAGCUGGUGCAGUCGCAGGAGAGCGCCAAACUGCUGUACGACAUCCUGCAUGUGGCCCACUUGCCCGAGAAGGACGAGGUGGCCGGCUCGACGGCGCUGCUGGCAGCUGGCAAGCAAUUUGGCGCCGGUUCGCACAAUCGCUUCAGGAAGGCGGCUGCCGAGUCGCGCAGGGGUCGUCGCUAGAGUCCUUGCCAGCGGAAGGGGGGCAUGCCAGUGAGCUGCAGGUGCACUAUUUAAGCCCCGCACUGUAUCCAGAGAGCGGCAGUUGGAGGAGCGCAAACUGCGGCAGCGGAAUCGGGAGCCGGACAACCAACCAGUGCUCCCUGCGCCGAAGUGCCGAGCAAACAGACAGCGCGAAAUUAUGGAAAUUUUUUAAACGAUGCAAUUAAGUCGACGGGGGAUUGGGAUGCGGAUGCGAAUGCAGGAGAGGAUUGGAGGGAGGACGAGGAUGAGUUGACUGUCUGGCCGUCAGACAACGUUGACAAGCGGCCAGGCAGUGACCGCUGGGGAUGCGACAACUCCGCGCCGUCGGGGAUGAGCGCUUAAAAAUCAAUUUUCAAUAAAUUUUUAAUUGCCCCCGCGCUGGCCGUCUGUGCCACUGCUGGCCCAGCCCACAGGAUGUCCCUUCAGCAGGACACCUGCAACAUUAACAGCCAGACCAUGUGAUACAAGCGGCUAUAAACGGAAUUUUUCAUCCGCAAUGCACCUGCAGCAGAGCCCCAGUGCAAGAUGUAACCUAUAAACGUUUUCAGCAGGGAAAUACAGUUUAUUUUUAUAAAAAGGAUUCCCUGGAAAGUGAAUGGUUGAUGUAAUUGAAGGAUAGUAAUGUUAAGUUAUAUAAAUAAGUAUUGUAUAAGGCCCAUCUAUGUGUACUGAUAUACUGAAAACGAAAUCAUUAUGGGCCCUAAAUUGUUCAUAAAAUAGUACACUAUAUUUCCUAUUAAUGUUAAAGUUGCUCAAAGGGUAAUUCAACUUUUGUUUAACUUUGCCAAUUGUACUUUUGUUUGCGCAUUAUGUUUUGUGAACCAUCCAAAGCCAAGAGAGCGAACUGUAAGCGUUACGCCCAUUGCACAUCCAAAUCCUUCGCGGAUUCGGUGCAUAAUUUCAAAAACCGCAAUUGGUUGCAAACUGAAAUGACGAUAAGCGAGGUAAUUGGCAUUCAGAUUGAAAUGAAGUGGAACGAGGCGAAUUGUAGUGGGUUUCGAGGGAGUAGAGCCCAGCAUGGGGUCCAAAUAUGGCUGCUCGUUAAGUGAGGAGAACUUUGAAUAGCAAUUCUUCGCUCUGCAGAGGAAUUUUAUAAGCACAAGAUUUUACCAUUAAAAGAAGUGUUUUGUAGAAAAAGCAAUUAUAAUUAGUAUUUAGCUGUAUUAUUAUAUAAACAUUUAAUUUUAAGAAAUUAACAUAAAACUAAGGAGCUCAAAAACAA